CGCGGCGUGGAGCAGUGGACAGCUCAACAGGCUCAUAACCUGUAGGUCGUGGGUUCGAAUCCCACCGCCGCUACCA
This 76-nucleotide transfer RNA is filed under the name marine sediment metagenome. Its description in RNAcentral is "tRNA-Met". It matches the Rfam family "tRNA". Rfam says of the family: Transfer RNA (tRNA) molecules are approximately 80 nucleotides in length. Their secondary structure includes four short double-helical elements and three loops (D, anti-codon, and T loops). The record is from RNAcentral.